UUCUGUAGGUGUCACAUUUUGAGGACUAUAAUAAAGGAGGAUACUGUGGGUGUUGGAGAGGACCCACUGAAAAAUGUGAGUGCACGAAAGGAUCUCACAGAUGAUCAUGUGGCCCCUGACACUCCAGCCACCUCUUCUGCACCAGUCUCACCUCCAGCUGAGACUCAGACGAACAAAUCAAAGAAGGCUUCCUGGUGGCGCAGAUGGCUUUUUUGUGAGAAAAAGUCAAAGGUUUUUCCCAAAAAUGAAGACAAGGCAGAAGACACGGUCGUGCCACCUUCUGAACCCCAACAGAGUACCAUCAGCACUGAAAAAUGUGAAGUCAAGGACGUUGGUGUCCAGACAGAGGUUUCCUGCCCUCCCAACUCGCUGCUGUUU
Oreochromis aureus is the source of this 378-nucleotide long non-coding RNA. RefSeq lists it as uncharacterized. NCBI's taxonomy places the organism in Eukaryota, Metazoa, Chordata, Actinopteri, Cichliformes, Cichlidae. The record is from RefSeq and is a predicted model, not a curated record. The transcript has 5 exons.